Molecule: ribosomal RNA, 253 nt
Filed under: uncultured bacterium
Lineage: Bacteria
Description: partial 16S ribosomal RNA
Rfam family: Archaeal small subunit ribosomal RNA
Source: RNAcentral
UACCAGCACCCCGAGUGGUCGGGACGAUUAUUGGGCCUAAAGCAUCCGUAGCCGGUUCUGCAAGUCCCCCGUUAAAUCCAGCUGCUCAACAGAUGGGCCGCGGAGGAUACUACAGAGCUAGGAGGCAGGAGAGGCAAGCGGUACUCGAUGGGUAGGGGUAAAAUCCGUUGAUCCAUUGAAGACCACCAGUGGCGAAGGCGGCUUGCCAGAACGCGCCCGACGGUGAGGGAUGAAAGCUGGGGGAGCAAACCGG